GAUGAAGAACGCAGCGAAAUGCGAUAAGUAAUGUGAAUUGCAGAAUCCGUGAAUCAUCGAAUCUUUGAACGCACAUUGCGCCCGCCAGUAUUCUGGCGGGCAUGCCUGUUCGAGCGUCAUUACAACCCUCAGGCCCCCGGGCCUGGCGUUGGGGAUCGGCGGAAGCCCCCUGCGGGCACAACGCCGUCCCCCAAAUACAGUGGCGGUCCCGCCGCAGCUUCCAUUGCGUAGUAGCUAACACCUCGCAACUGGAGAGCGGCGCGGCCACGCCGUAAAACACCCAACUUCUGAAUGUUGACCUCGAAUCAGGUAGGAAUACCCGCUGAACUUAAGCAUAUCAAUAAGCGGAGGA
This 352-nucleotide unclassified non-coding RNA is filed under the name soil metagenome. RNAcentral's name for it is "partial contains 5.8S ribosomal RNA, internal transcribed spacer 2, and large subunit ribosomal RNA". The stretch from base 1 to 119 matches the Rfam family "5.8S ribosomal RNA", at positions 35 to 154 of the family's 154-position model. The record is from RNAcentral.